UACGUAGGGGGCAAGCGUUGUCCGGAUUUAUUGGGCGUAAAGAGCGUGUAGGCGGUUUGGUAGGUCCGCUGUGAAAACUCGAGGCUCAACCUCGAGACGCCGGUGGAAACCAUCAGACUAGAGUCCGGAAGAGGAGAGUGGAAUUCCUGGUGUAGCGGUGAAAUGCGCAGAUAUCGGGAGGAACACCAGUGGCGAAGGCGGCGACCUGGACAGAUAUUGACGCUGAGGCGCGAGAGCGUGGGGAGCAAACAGG
RNAcentral lists this ribosomal RNA (253 nucleotides) under uncultured bacterium. Its description in RNAcentral is "partial 16S ribosomal RNA". It matches the Rfam family "Bacterial small subunit ribosomal RNA", at positions 524 to 776 of the family's 1533-position model. The record is from RNAcentral.